Molecule: long non-coding RNA, 709 nt
Filed under: Trifolium pratense (red clover)
Lineage: Eukaryota; Viridiplantae; Streptophyta; Magnoliopsida; Fabales; Fabaceae
Description: long non-coding RNA (TPRA_LNC004135)
Source: RNAcentral
AAAAUUCUUUCCAUCCAGUUCCAAUUUUUGUACUAACUUUAGGAGGAUAUUGCAACAUACAUUACACAUUCAAUAUAUCACCAUUAAUAUGCGAUAUUGCCGACAUAUCUCCUGAUUUACCAAAGUUGCAAACUGAAUUGAAAGAUAAUUCCCUCCUUGGUUUUUUUUUUUAUCAAAUAAUUCCCUCCUUGGUUAGAUAAUUGCAUAUUUUAUCAUACAUUAAACAAAAGAUACCACCAUUAAUAUCUGCUUAGCAGAACUCCUUUUGGCAGGUGUUUUGUGAGAAGAAGCAGACAUGUCAUUCUCGGCAGAAGCGGAUACAUUUGGCUGCAAAUAAGCAUUGCAAAUUGCAAAUAAGUAAAGGUAUUAACGGUCAAUAUAACUAAUUCAAAAUAUAAAUAAAGAGAAUUGAAGUUAGAAUAGUAAACAUACUGUGGAUAGAAUAGAAUCAUCUAGCCAAUCCAACUUGUCGAUAUCAGAUUGGGUAAAAGCUUGAAAAUGUGUGGAAAGUGUAUUAUGGUAAGUGAGUUGGUAAAUAGCAAUGAAUUAAGAAAACGAUAUGAACUGAAUCACAAAGUAGAAAUGAUUAGUCAAAUUAACUAUGAAUGAUGACAUACCUGAAUUGGAAGUGAAUCAUUGAUUAGUGUUUUAAAUCCCAAAAAAAAAAAGAUUAAGUAAUGAAAGUUGUAUAACAGUAUGAAAUUUGUUA